RNAcentral lists this unclassified non-coding RNA (208 nucleotides) under Hevea brasiliensis (rubber tree). Lineage: Eukaryota; Viridiplantae; Streptophyta; Magnoliopsida; Malpighiales; Euphorbiaceae. The record is from RNAcentral.
UCAUAACCAGGUUCGUCCAUUGCUAUUAUGUUUCCUUGGGGUAGUGCAUUUGUAGUGCAUGACUCUUAAAAAUACUUAACACCAAUUAUAGUUGGCUCCACUUUAAAACCUUUAAUCAGUGGUCCAAUAUGCGGUUCUGUAUGUUUGUAUUUGUUAUUAUUUUUAUUUAUUUAUAUAUUUUGCAUGCAGAUUCUUCCUUUGAUACAGA